RNAcentral lists this ribosomal RNA (883 nucleotides) under uncultured archaeon. RNAcentral describes it as "bacterial SSU rRNA". It matches the Rfam family "Archaeal small subunit ribosomal RNA", at positions 6 to 881 of the family's 1478-position model. The record is from RNAcentral.
GGUUGAUCCUGCCAGAGAUUACUGCUAUCGGAUAUCGAUUAAGCCAUGCGAGUCGAGAGCCUUAGGGGCUCGGCGAAAUGCUCAGUAACACGUGGACAACUUACCCUGAGGACAGAGAUAACUCCGAGAAAUCGGAAAUAAUACCUGAUAGAUCAUUAUGGUUGGAAUACCUUUUGAUCCAAAGGCAAUUCAUUUAUUUGAAUUGUCCCGCCUCAGGAUAGGUCUGCGGCCGAUUAGGUAGUUGUUGGUGUAAUGAACCAACAAGCCAAUUAUCGGUACGGGUUGUGAGAGCAAGAGCCCGGAGAUGGUUUCUGAGACAAGAAUCCAGGCCCUACGGGGUGCAGCAGGCGCGAAACUUACAAUGCGAGAAAUCGCGAUAAGGGAAAUCCGAGUGCAGCACAUGUGUUACUGUCCAGAAGUCUUAAACACUUCUGAUAGCAAGACCGGGCAAGACCGGUGCCAGCCGCCGCGGUAAUACCGGCGGUACGAGUGGUAAUCACUAUUAUUGGGUUUAAAGAGUCCGUAGCCGGUUUAUUAAAUCCCAUGGGAAAUCUGGUGGCUUAACCAUCAGGCGACUAUGGGAGACUGGUAAACUUGGGACCGGGGGAGGAUGGAGGUACUUCAGGGGUAGGAGUGAAAUCUUGUAAUCCUUGGAGGACCAUCGGUGGCGAAGGCGUCUAUCUAUAACGGAUCCGACGGUGAGGGACGAAAGCUAGGGUCACGAACCGGAUUAGAUACCCGGGUAGUCCUAGCCGUAAACGAUGCAGACUAAGUGUCAGAUACAGUGCGACUGUAUCUGGUGCCGUAGGGAAACCGUAAAGUCUGCCACCUGGGAAGUACGACCGCAUGGUUGAAACUCAAAUGAAUUGACGGAAGCCGAAUU